Molecule: ribosomal RNA, 450 nt
Filed under: uncultured bacterium
Lineage: Bacteria
Description: partial 16S ribosomal RNA
Rfam family: Bacterial small subunit ribosomal RNA
Source: RNAcentral
AGGGAAUCUUCGGCAAUGGACGAAAGUCUGACCGAGCAACGCCGCGUGAGUGAAGAAGGUUUUCGGAUCGUAAAACUCUGUUGGUAGAGAAGAACGUUGGUGAGAGUGGAAAGCUCAUCAAGUGACGGUAACUACCCAGAAAGGGACGGCUAACUACGUGCCAGCAGCCGCGGUAAUACGUAGGUCCCGAGCGUUGUCCGGAUUUAUUGGGCGUAAAGCGAGCGCAGGUGGUUUAUUAAGUCUGGUGUAAAAGGCAGUGGCUCAACCAUUGUAUGCAUUGGAAACUGGUAGACUUGAGUGCAGGAGAGGAGAGUGGAAUUCCAUGUGUAGCGGUGAAAUGCGUAGAUAUAUGGAGGAACACCGGUGGCGAAAGCGGCUCUCUGGCCUGUAACUGACACUGAGGCUCGAAAGCGUGGGGAGCAAACAGGAUUAGAUAGCCCUGGUAGUCCA